RNAcentral lists this long non-coding RNA (296 nucleotides) under Mus musculus (house mouse). RNAcentral's name for it is "long non-coding RNA chr5:134293986-134294282". Lineage: Eukaryota; Metazoa; Chordata; Mammalia; Rodentia; Muridae. The record is from RNAcentral.
GCCGGGCGUGGUGGCGCACGCCUUUAAUCCCAGCCCUCGGGAGGCAGAGGCAGGCGGACUUCUGAGUUUGAGGCCAGCCUGGUCUACAGAGUGAGUUCCAGGACAGCCAGGGCUACACAGAGAAACCCUGUCUCGAAAAACCAAAAAAAAAAAAAAGCGUCUUAAUAUAUAAUCAGGACGCAAGUGUCAUUCACAUCUUUUUGGGUUUUUUUGUUUGUUUGUUUUUUGAGACAGGGUUUCUCUGUGUAGCCCUGGCUGUCCUGGAACUCACUUUGUAGAACAGGCUGGCCUCGAAC